UGGACCAAACUUUGUCUGCUUUGGACUCAUCUACAUGAUCAUCCGGUUAUUGUCUUAUGGAUUCAUAGUCCUCUUGUACUUGUGACCCUCUCCUGAACGCUUUCCAACUUCUGUGUUGUGUAGGAUGUUUUGUAGUCCACUCAGACUGACAUGAAGAUGCAGUACAACUUGGUUGUAUUGGCCUCUCUUGGAAGAGAAUUAAGCCUUCCAAAAUUUUGGGACUAGUGAAGUUUUAAGCACUCUGAAACAAUUAACAUUUACUUUUAAUUUGAGAGUGUUUUUCAAUAACAGUUAAUCUCUUUGCUGGUUGCCUACUAUUGAUAUUCAUCCUGAAUUUUCUGAUUAUUAGAACAGAAGUGUAGGGAUAUAUUUAUAAUAUCCCUUGUACAAUAAAUAGAAUAAAUAUUUAUACAGUGACAACACUUGACUGUUUAUCCUGAAAUUUGAAAGACCUUUCCAAACACUAAAGCAAUAAAUCAGGUGUGCAGAGCAAACAUUUUAGACCCAAUGUGAAGGAGGAAAUUGAGACCAUGAGAAAUCCAUGCAUGAUUUGCCUGAUAUGACAUAUUGGAUCUGAGGCUGAACUGAGCAAAGAGCUUGUGGGAUUUUUUCCUUCAGUCUUAGACACUGUUCCUGUAAAUUUAAAAAAAAAUUUUACUCUUCUUCAUCAUGGGAGAAAUACGUCUACAAAAUGGUUUUCCAAUAAUGGGCCAUUUGUGUUUCAUCACACUCUGAUUAACAGAUCUUUGCAUCCCCAGAGAGGAAUGGACCGGUGACAGUGAUGCUACAUCACCUCUUCUGAAUGCAGGAGCUCAGUUUCACUUUUGGCAGCUCUAGGAUGAACCAGUGGAGUUUCCUUGACUCCAGUGGGGAUCAAUUCCAUUUGGAGCCUGUAGCGACUGAUGUCCAGGAGAGCCCGAGCCACGUGGCAACAGGAAGGUUUGCAUGAUGGCUGAUGGCACAUCCUUCCAAAAGGAACUGGGAAGAAUAAAGAAAGACACUGAGGCCUUGGAAUGUGCCCA
RNAcentral lists this long non-coding RNA (1022 nucleotides) under Numida meleagris (helmeted guineafowl). RNAcentral describes it as "lncRNA (ENSNMEG00000020212.1)". Lineage: Eukaryota; Metazoa; Chordata; Aves; Galliformes; Numididae. The record is from RNAcentral.